RNAcentral lists this ribosomal RNA (396 nucleotides) under uncultured bacterium. RNAcentral's name for it is "bacterial SSU rRNA". It matches the Rfam family "Bacterial small subunit ribosomal RNA", at positions 29 to 426 of the family's 1533-position model. The record is from RNAcentral.
AUUGAACGCUGGCGGCAUGCCUUACACAUGCAAGUCGAACGGUAACGCGGGGCAACCUGGCGACGAGUGGCGAACGGGUGAGUAAAGCAUCGGAACGUGCCCAGUAGUGGGGGGAUAGCCCGGCGAAAAGCCGGAUUAAUACCGCAUACGACCUACGGGUGAAAGGGGGGGAUCGCAAGACCUCUCGCUAUUGGAGCGGCCGAUGUCAGAUUAGGUAGUUGGUGGGGUAAAGGCCUACCAAGCCGACGAUCUGUAGCUGGUCUGAGAGGACGACCAGCCACACUGGGACUGAGACACGGCCCAGACUCCUACGGGAGGCAGCAGUGGGGAAUUUUGGACAAUGGGCGCAAGCCUGAUCCAGCCAUGCCGCGUGCGGGAAGAAGGCCUUCGGGUUGU